AAAAAAAAAAAAGAAGUUCAAAAGUCAUCUUUGGCUGCAUACCAAGUCUGAGGCUUAAAAAAAACAAAACAAAACAAAACAAAAAUUGGACAGACAUUUCUCCUUUGUCUUGUGCUCCGAGCUCUUCCAAUGGCCACCCGAUUCUUCACACACACACACACACACACACACACACACACACACACACACACACUUACUUCCCCUUAUGCAUGUGUAUUUGUCUCUUAUUCCUCUCCUCAUUGAGCACUCCCAAAAGAUAUUCCUUAGUUCUUUUGUUUCCCAGCCUUGUGCUACGUGCACACGCUCCAUGCGCCUUCUGCACUGUGUGGAUUCUCUCCCUCCCUCCCUGGUCUUUCCACACCCAGGACACUUCUUUGCACGAU
This 383-nucleotide long non-coding RNA is filed under the name Rattus norvegicus (Norway rat). Its description in RNAcentral is "long non-coding RNA NONRATT002422". Lineage: Eukaryota; Metazoa; Chordata; Mammalia; Rodentia; Muridae. The record is from RNAcentral.